This 253-nucleotide ribosomal RNA is filed under the name uncultured bacterium. Its description in RNAcentral is "partial 16S ribosomal RNA". It matches the Rfam family "Bacterial small subunit ribosomal RNA", at positions 524 to 776 of the family's 1533-position model. The record is from RNAcentral.
GACGAACCGUCCUAACGUUGUUCGGAAUCACUGGGCUUAAAGGGCGCGUAGGCGGCUUGCCAAGUCAGGGGUGAAAUCCUGCAGCUUAACUGUAGAAGGGCCUUUGAUACUGGCGAGCUCGAGGGAGGUAGGGGUAUGUGGAACUUCCGGUGGAGCGGUGAAAUGCGUUGAUAUCGGAAGGAACGCCGGUGGCGAAAGCGACGUACUGGACCUCUUCUGACGCUGAGGCGCGAAAGCUAGGGGAGCAAACAGG